This 228-nucleotide long non-coding RNA is filed under the name Elaeis guineensis (African oil palm). RNAcentral describes it as "long non-coding RNA (EGUI_LNC042036)". Lineage: Eukaryota; Viridiplantae; Streptophyta; Magnoliopsida; Arecales; Arecaceae. The record is from RNAcentral.
CUUGGCAGGUGUGUGCGUGUAUGUGUGUGUGUGUAUAAUACAGAAACCAACGAAAUCCACCGGGGAUUGGAAGAGGCAUCAUGCAUGAAAUAAUUUGGUGAGAUGCCAUGAUUUGGAUUGGCUCCUAUUUUGAACCUUUGGUUUGAGGAAGUGCCAAAAUAGUUGCAAUUAAACAACUUCUGCAGAUUUUUAUCUUCUAAGUCCUUGUAAUAUGUGCUCUAGCUGGUA